Leptidea sinapis is the source of this 229-nucleotide long non-coding RNA. RefSeq lists it as uncharacterized. Lineage: Eukaryota; Metazoa; Arthropoda; Insecta; Lepidoptera; Pieridae. The record is from RefSeq and is a predicted model, not a curated record. The transcript is spliced from 3 exons.
CGGCGCUCCUGGUGGCUGCACGUCGGUUUGAUUCCCGAGAAAUCGAAGUUCGUAAACUUUGUGAUUGUGUGUUAAGUGUAUGUGAACGGAUUGUUAAAGCUAAUCUAAAUCCAGAUACAAAGGAAUACACCUGCAGCACAGGUAUAACAGAGAUCAACUUAGAAAUAGCCACAAAUAGGGUAAGGCUUGAGUAAUAUAGUAAUGCUUAGAUAAUUUGGUUAUUCAUAAA